CAGACUUGCAUGGUAGGCCUGUACUGAGAAGUAAAGCUGAAAUGCCCCCCUGGCCGGUAUGCGAUGCUGCUGUGGGAUUCCAAGCGCAGGAUGAUUAGUGUAACUAGUGGCAACCCUCGGAAUAAUGUUCUAACAACUUCUUUGUCAUACAUCAAAAUGGAAAUGAAGAUAUACCAGAUGGUCCCUCUGAAUGGCGGCACAACCUUGGCAGGCUGGAGGAAUGGACCAACAGGAACCUCACAAAUUUCAACAAAAGGGAAAGCAAAGUCCUGCACCUGGAGAGGAAUAGCCUCUUCACCAAGACAGGCUGGGAGCUGACCGGCUGGAUGACAAAAUUGCAGAAGGCGGCCUAUGAGUCCUGGUAGACAACAAGGUGGCUAUGGGCCAGCAACGUACCCUUGUGGCAAGGGCAGCCAAC
RNAcentral lists this long non-coding RNA (418 nucleotides) under Struthio camelus australis. RNAcentral describes it as "lncRNA (ENSSCUG00000003548.1)". The record is from RNAcentral. Lineage: Eukaryota; Metazoa; Chordata; Aves; Struthioniformes; Struthionidae.